GUGAAAUACCUGAGGAAGAGACUAUCUUCCAUUGUUUACUACUAGUAAUUACUUACUAAUUACGAGAACGACAAGAGUUUCCUCUGCAUCACCUGGAAGUUUCCUUUGCAUUACUUGGGAACUUCAUCUGCACACCUUUAAAAUCCAAUUUCAGCGACUCUUCGCCUUCUCCAAAUCCUGCUGGUCUCUCUUGCUCCGCCUUGUAAAGUGCUUGCAUAACUACUCAACUUUACCAGGGAUCAAAAUUUCACCUGUAAAUUUAGUUGGGGUCUAUAGUACUCAGAGACUGAUUCUUUGUUUUGUACAAUAUAGUUAUGAGUAACCGGGGGAGUCUGCAAGAGAAUGGUGAAAGUAUGAAUCGGGAAACUGAGAAUGAAGACUCAGGGAAUGUUAAUGGACCAGUACAUGAAGCUGCUGAAUUGCAACAUUCCAAUAAUGAUAAUCAUGAGGGUGAAAGAAUAACUAAAAGGAUAAUUCUUAGACAUGUAUGGAAUUAUCUCUUCCUAUUCUCUUGUGUGAUUGCA
Molecule: long non-coding RNA, 524 nt
Organism: Quercus lobata
Lineage: Eukaryota; Viridiplantae; Streptophyta; Magnoliopsida; Fagales; Fagaceae
Exons: 3
Source: RefSeq, a predicted model, not a curated record